GACGAACGCUGGCGGCGUGCUUAACACAUGCAAGUCGAACGCUGAAGCUCAGCUUGCUGGGUGGAUGAGUGGCGAACGGGUGAGUAACACGUGAGUAACCUGCCCUCUUCUUUGGGAUAACGCCCGGAAACGGGUGCUAAUACUGGAUAUUCACUGAUUCUCGCAUGGGGGUUGGUGGAAAGGUUUUUUCUGGUGGGGGAUGGGCUCGCGGCCUAUCAGCUUGUUGGUGGGGUGAUGGCCUACCAAGGCUUUGACGGGUAGCAGGCCUGAGAGGGUGACCGGUCACAUUGGGACUGAGAUACGGCCCAGACUCCUACGGGAGGCAGCAGUGGGGAAUAUUGCACAAUGGGCGAAAGCCUGAUGCAGCGACGCCGCGUGAGGGAUGGAGGCCUUCGGGUUGUAAACCUCUUUCGCUCAUGGUCAAGCCGCAGCUUUGGGUUGUGGUGAGGGUAGUGGGUAAAGAAGCGCCGGCUAACUACGUG
RNAcentral lists this ribosomal RNA (482 nucleotides) under uncultured bacterium. RNAcentral describes it as "partial 16S ribosomal RNA". It matches the Rfam family "Bacterial small subunit ribosomal RNA", at positions 28 to 507 of the family's 1533-position model. The record is from RNAcentral.